RNAcentral lists this ribosomal RNA (460 nucleotides) under uncultured bacterium. RNAcentral describes it as "partial 16S ribosomal RNA". It matches the Rfam family "Bacterial small subunit ribosomal RNA", at positions 338 to 795 of the family's 1533-position model. The record is from RNAcentral.
CCUACGGGAGGCAGCAGUGAGGAAUAUUGGUCAAUGGGCGCGAGCCUGAACCAGCCAAGUAGCGUGAGGGAUGACGGCCCUACGGUUUGUAAACUUCUUUUAUAAGGGAAUAAAGUGCGGCACGUGUGCCGUUUUGUAUGUACUUUAUGAAUAAGGAUCGGCUAACUCCGUGCCAGCAGCCGCGGUAAUACGGAGGAUCCGAGCGUUAUCCGGAUUUAUUGGGUUUAAAGGGAGCGUAGGUGGGUUGUUAAGUCAGUUGUGAAAGUUUGCGGCUCAACCGUAAAAUUGCAAUUGAUACUGGCAGUCUUGAGUACAGUUGAGGUAGGCGGAAUUCGUGGUGUAGCGGUGAAAUGCUUAGAUAUCACGAAGAACCCCGAUUGCGAAGGCAGCUUACUAAACUGUCACUGACACUGAUGCUCGAAAGCGUGGGUAUCAAACAGGAUUAGAUACCCGAGUAGUC